This 72-nucleotide transfer RNA is filed under the name Planctomycetota bacterium. Its description in RNAcentral is "Planctomycetes bacterium tRNA-Ser". It matches the Rfam family "tRNA". From Rfam's summary of the family: Transfer RNA (tRNA) molecules are approximately 80 nucleotides in length. Their secondary structure includes four short double-helical elements and three loops (D, anti-codon, and T loops). Lineage: Bacteria; Pseudomonadati; Planctomycetota. The record is from RNAcentral.
ACUUAGCUCAAACGGUUAGAGCACCAGACUGCUAAUCUGGUUGUUGCGGGUUCGAAUCCCGCAGUAACACCA